Long non-coding RNA from Magallana angulata, 731 nucleotides. RefSeq lists it as uncharacterized. The record is from RefSeq and is a predicted model, not a curated record. The transcript is spliced from 2 exons. NCBI's taxonomy places the organism in Eukaryota, Metazoa, Mollusca, Bivalvia, Ostreida, Ostreidae.
GUUAGAUCCACCCUUUCUUUUAAUUCAUACACAUGUACAUAUACCCUUAGGGCAGUACUUGAUCAUGAGUUGGUCAGUGGAUAUUUGUGAUCUUGGUUUUUAUUGGUUGUUUGUGUCAGGUUGAAUUUGGUUGGUUUGUAUAUUUUGCUUUAUGUGUUUUACCGCCAAGUUUGACAAUCUUUGUCUGGACAUUGACCAAAGCAGACUAUAUAUUUAUAUAGAGAAGUAAUUUAAUUUUGGACCAGACCUUGCUCUUUUUCUGGUAAGUUAUACUAAGUAUACUAAUAUCCUAUAACACUUACUAUUAAUAAAUUGAUUAUCCUAUAAAUUGCAGAAAACAUUAAUUCAGUCCAUGAUCACAAACUAAUGAGUAUGAAUGAAUUAGAAUGAAAAGAUAUUUUUUAUAUGGAAUACAGUGUUGAUUAUAAAGAUCAAUAUUUGGUUUAUUUAUUAUAGUAUUAAUUGAUUCUCAAAUCAAUUGUAUAUAAGAAUUUUAUGAUGAUCAGAUAUUUGAUUAAAUUGGUCAUUUAUAAGAUCAAUUAGAUUAUAUUUCAGUAAUAAAUAUUUUUAGAAUUAUUUUGUUCGAAUUACAGAAUCAGUCAAUGUCAAUUUAAUCUCACCACGCAAUCGGUGUACGUAUUAUGAGCCUGUUCCCAUAGAAUGGGCUUAAAUAUACAUUGCAAAUUUUAAAGUCACUGUGUCCGGAUACGAAUAAACGAACCAUACAGAUA